This 261-nucleotide ribosomal RNA is filed under the name Triticum aestivum (bread wheat). RNAcentral describes it as "partial small subunit ribosomal RNA". Lineage: Eukaryota; Viridiplantae; Streptophyta; Magnoliopsida; Poales; Poaceae. The record is from RNAcentral.
AUGGAUUGUAGCCUCCGUAUCAUCUUCUGGAACACCCCUGGUCUCAACUGUCCUGCGAAACGCAGCGCUGCCCGCUCGGUCGUGUGUGUUGCUCGCCCCGCCAUGGUCUACCUGCAGGAAACGAAGCUUGCAGACGUCACCCCCUUCCUGGUCGCCGACUCUCUUGGGAGCGAGUUCUCUAGUUUCUUUCACCUCCCCGCGGACGGCACGCGUGGUGGCAUCAUCCUUGUUUGGCGCCCUUCCGAGAUCUCCCUGUCUAAU